RNAcentral lists this unclassified non-coding RNA (200 nucleotides) under uncultured Thelebolus. RNAcentral describes it as "sequence contains ITS2". Lineage: Eukaryota; Fungi; Ascomycota; Leotiomycetes; Thelebolales; Thelebolaceae. The record is from RNAcentral.
AGCGGGUAUCCCUACCUGAUCCGAGGUCAACCUGAAAAAAUUGGGGUUAUUGGCAAGUAACCACCUGGAUCUCCAAAGCGAGAAGAAUUACUACGCUUGAAGCCAAAUGGCACCGCCACUGAUUUUAAGACCUGCCAGAAGCGUGCAAUGUCCAAUACCAAGCAAAGCUUGAGGGUUGUAAUGACGCUCGAACAGGCAUG